This is a long non-coding RNA of Chenopodium quinoa (quinoa), 256 nucleotides long. RefSeq lists it as uncharacterized. NCBI's taxonomy places the organism in Eukaryota, Viridiplantae, Streptophyta, Magnoliopsida, Caryophyllales, Amaranthaceae. The transcript has 3 exons. The record is from RefSeq and is a predicted model, not a curated record.
AAAUACUCUUGCCUUCACUCAUCACUACUCACUCACUCACUCUUGAGUCUUCUUGUCUUCAUAAUUCUUAAUCCAAAGAUGGCCAUGCAUUUCGGGCCCCUGUUACAAUUACAUGCAAUUUUCUUGCUUGUUUUUCUAGCAUUUCAUGCAUCAAGCUGUGAACAAGAGGACUACUGGCAGAUGAAGCUACCAAAAGUCCCUAUGCCACAAGCUAUCACGGACAAUCUAUUUCAUCCUAAAGAUAAUUUCUCCCACU